GUUUCCAUUGAGCUUCCAGCUCCAAAUGGCUGGUUGAAAAGGUUUCUGCCUAAGAAAGGAGGGACGCCAAAGAAAAAUGAGAUCGUGUUUACUGCACCAACAGGGGAGGAGAUUACUACAAAGAAACAGUUGCAGCAGUACCUGAAGUCUCACCCUGGUGGUCCUGCAAUCACUGAGUUUGACUGGGGAAGUGGGGAAGCUCCAAGAAGAUCCACAAGGAUCACUGGAAAGGCAAAGACAGCUCCACUUGCAGCAGAAAGUGUGACUCCAACAAAGCGAAACAGAAGAUCUUCAGCUUCUAAGAAGGACGUGAAAGACAAAAAAGAACAGGAAGAAACUGAGGCAGCAAAGGAUGUUGACAUGCCAGAAGCUGACAAACAGGAAAAGGAUGGUGUGUCUGUGGAAGCUGAAAAACAUGAAAAGGAUGCUGUGGCUGUGGAAGCUGGAAAACAUGAAAAGGAUGCUGCGGCUGUGGAAGCUGAAAAGGUGGUCGUACAGAAACAUGACGAGGGAAAAGAUGAAAACAAGGAAGAAAUGCCUUCUACUGAUGUCGGUAUUGUGAAGGAGAACCAAGCUAAACAGACAAGUCAAGGCCAAACUGAAGAUGGUCCUUCCAAAGAUGAUGCUGUUGAGAAGGAUGUUCAAAUGGCUGAUCAUGCUGCUG
RNAcentral lists this unclassified non-coding RNA (664 nucleotides) under Hevea brasiliensis (rubber tree). The record is from RNAcentral. Lineage: Eukaryota; Viridiplantae; Streptophyta; Magnoliopsida; Malpighiales; Euphorbiaceae.